RNAcentral lists this ribosomal RNA (508 nucleotides) under uncultured bacterium. RNAcentral describes it as "partial 16S ribosomal RNA". It matches the Rfam family "Bacterial small subunit ribosomal RNA", at positions 28 to 523 of the family's 1533-position model. The record is from RNAcentral.
GAUGAACGCUAGCUACAGGCUUAACACAUGCAAGUCGAGGGGAAACGAUAGAGAAAGCUUGCUUUUUCUAGGCGUCGACCGGCGCACGGGUGAGUAACGCGUAUCCAACCUGCCCAUCACUUGGGGAUAACCUUGCGAAAGUAAGACUAAUACCCAAUGACGUCCAUAGAAGACAUCUGAAAUGGAUUAAAGAUUUAUCGGUGAUGGAUGGGGAUGCGUCUGAUUAGCUUGUUGGCGGGGUAACGGCCCACCAAGGCGACGAUCAGUAGGGGUUCUGAGAGGAAGGUCCCCCACAUUGGAACUGAGACACGGUCCAAACUCCUACGGGAGGCAGCAGUGAGGAAUAUUGGUCAAUGGACGAGAGUCUAAACCAGCCAAGUAGCGUGCAGGAUGACGGCCCUAUGGGUUGUAAACUGCUUUUAUAAGGGAAUAAAGUGGGAGUCGUGACUCCUUUUGCAUGUACCUUAUGAAUAAGGACCGGCUAAUUCCGUGCCAGCAGCCGCCGUAA